Hypomesus transpacificus is the source of this 1065-nucleotide long non-coding RNA. RefSeq lists it as uncharacterized. The record is from RefSeq and is a predicted model, not a curated record. NCBI's taxonomy places the organism in Eukaryota, Metazoa, Chordata, Actinopteri, Osmeriformes, Osmeridae. The transcript is spliced from 3 exons.
AGAGGAAACUGGGUUUUAAACAGGAGCAAGUGAACGAAAACACUGAUCUGUUCUUUGCGUCAAGACUGGAGGUUUCCACAUAAUCGGCUCCAAACACAAAUACACAUAUGUCUUUGACGAAGACCGGGUUCGACGGGAGAACUCGAGGAGAAAACAACCUUUGGUUUGACGUUGUUAGAUGUACAGCAAUCGUGCCGUGGCUUACUGUAUGGCGGGACUUUGAAAGAAAACUCUAAGGAUAAGGUGAAGCAGAUGAGUCAGAACCUCGCUGGAAAAACACCCGACACCUGUAUCCUUUCCUGUGGAUAAACUGCCCUCUGCAUGACUGGAACUGGACCCAACCACAACCUAGCGUUCAUGUGUUGGAACCCGGACUCUGAUGUGAGGUUGUUAACGAUGCGUGUUCUCUCAGAUGGAUUCACCGAGGCCAGAGCAGAACUGGGUCAGUAACAAGGCCUAAAUCAUUUCAUGAACCCAGGCCCGGCCAUCACGACGAGAAUGAUGUUAAGAUGAACUUAACGUUCUGCCGGGCUCCACCUUCAGAGAACCAUACAUCUGUUCUAGAAGGAUCCCUCAGGAUGCCAGAACCCUCUCUGAUUUAUCCGCUGUAAAUGGACCGUGGAGACUAAAUGUCUGUUGGAUUACUAUAUAACUGACUCCAGGACAAUGUGUGAUGUAAAAACAGCGUGAGGACAUUGCUGAUGUCAGUCCAAAAGGAAUUCCUUCAGCAUCCUAAAGGGAAUAUUGAGGGUGUUGACUAUUGCUGUCCAAUCCUGGCUGGCUCAUUUGUAUUCCACAUUCUACUACCACUGGCCAAAGCAUCAGCAAAGAGUAUCAUUCAAUAUCCCCUCACUACCUCUCGUGUAGUUUUUAGGAGUGUAAUUAUAUAUCGCAAUACAAAAUGUUCACAAUAUGUAUCGUAGUUAUGGCAGUAUUUUUUACAAUAUGACGUCCGUUUGAUCCUAUUGGUUGAGCUACCAGCAUGCGACCAACUCUGCACCUGCGUCAUGCGUGCAUUCACAGAAAUCGCUUGAACUGAGUUAACUAAAUUGAAUGUACAAAAAA